RNAcentral lists this ribosomal RNA (491 nucleotides) under uncultured bacterium. RNAcentral's name for it is "partial 16S ribosomal RNA". It matches the Rfam family "Bacterial small subunit ribosomal RNA", at positions 29 to 506 of the family's 1533-position model. The record is from RNAcentral.
AGUGAACGCUGGCGGUAGGCCUAACACAUGCAAGUCGAAUGGCAGCACAGUAAGAGCUUGCUCUUACGGGUGGCGAGUGGCGGACGGGUGAGGAAUACAUCGGAAUCUACUUUUUCGUGGGGGAUAACGUAGGGAAACUUACGCUAAUACCGCAUACGACCUACGGGUGAAAGCAGGGGAUCUUCGGACCUUGCGCGAUUGAAUGAGCCGAUGUCGGAUUAGCUAGUUGGCGGGGUAAAGGCCCACCAAGGCGACGAUCCGUAGCUGGUCUGAGAGGAUGAUCAGCCACACUGGAACUGAGACACGGUCCAGACUCCUACGGGAGGCAGCAGUGGGGAAUAUUGGACAAUGGGCGCAAGCCUGAUCCAGCCAUACCGCGUGGGUGAAGAAGGCCUUCGGGUUGUAAAGCCCUUUUGUUGGGAAAGAAAAGCAGCAGGUUAAUACCCCGCUGUUCUGACGGUACCCAAAGAAUAAACACCGGCUAACUUCGU